This 45-nucleotide non-coding RNA is filed under the name Schistosoma bovis. The record is from RNAcentral. RNAcentral also lists the same sequence under 1 other name. Lineage: Eukaryota; Metazoa; Platyhelminthes; Trematoda; Strigeidida; Schistosomatidae.
AUCCAACUGACAAAUCCCAAAUAGGACGUAACACGCGUCCGAGAU